This 59-nucleotide non-coding RNA is filed under the name unclassified sequences. Its description in RNAcentral is "psbNH RNA". It matches the Rfam family "psbNH RNA". The record is from RNAcentral.
GGGUGAAGUUCAGUCCCGAUACUGUAAGGGUCCUGGCCCUGAUAAGGGCCGAUCCUGUC